Molecule: long non-coding RNA, 457 nt
Filed under: Vulpes vulpes (red fox)
Lineage: Eukaryota; Metazoa; Chordata; Mammalia; Carnivora; Canidae
Description: lncRNA (ENSVVUG00000007420.1)
Source: RNAcentral
AUGGUUAGGCAAGAAAUCUGUGACACUAGCCAUCAUGACCAUCUUAAACCAAAGGAAAAAAUGUCCCCAUCUUUGAAAAAUGUUUGUAAAGGAAUUCACAAAUACUAUACCAGAAGGGUAGCUGACACGUUGACCCUGAGAAAGAAACAACUAAGUUCUAGGAGGCAAGUAAAGAAAAAUUAGUAUAGAAGUAUCUCACAAUGUCUUUUACAGUAAAUUCACUUGGCAUAUAAUUUUCACCAGUCAUGUCACAUGCAUAAACUAACAGGCAGUGAAAAAGCAUUCACACACCCAGAGAUUAUUUAUCCUUUUAUUCAUUCAUGCACCAAUUAUUACCGAACCCUACUGUGUGCCAGACAUUAACUACUCUAGAUGCCUGAGAGCCAAAUAUCAAAAUCCCAGCCCUCUCAAGAGCUUCCGUUCUAAUGAACAUACAACGAGAAAGGCAGAGAUUGUA